This 519-nucleotide ribosomal RNA is filed under the name uncultured bacterium. RNAcentral describes it as "bacterial SSU rRNA". It matches the Rfam family "Bacterial small subunit ribosomal RNA", at positions 9 to 484 of the family's 1533-position model. The record is from RNAcentral.
GAGUUUGAUCGUGGCUCAGGAUGAACGCCGGCGGUGUGCCUAAUACAUGCAAGUCGAACGCGUUGGCCCAACUGAUUGAUUGUGCUUGCACAGGAUUGACGUUGGUUUCCCAACGAGUGGCGGACGGGUGAGUAACACGUAGGCAACCUGCCCCGAAGCGGGGGACAACAUUUGGAAACAAGUGCUAAUACCGCAUAACAACUUUGACCGCCUGGUCAAAGCUUAAAAGAUGGUUUCGGCUAUCACUUCGGGAUGGGCCUGCGGCGCAUUAGCUUGUUGGUGGGGUAACGGCCUACCAAGGCGAUGAUGCGUAGCCGAGUUGAGAGACUGAUCGGCCACAAUGGGACUGAGACACGGCCCAUACUCCUACGGGAGGCAGCAGUAGGGAAUCUUCCACAAUGGGCGCAAGCCUGAUGGAGCAACACCGCGUGAGUGAAGAAGGGUUUCGGCUCGUAAAGCUCUGUUGUUGAAGAAGAAUGUGCAAGAGAGUAACUGUUCUUGUAUUGACGGUAUUCAACC